Gorilla gorilla gorilla (western lowland gorilla) is the source of this 3835-nucleotide long non-coding RNA. RefSeq lists it as uncharacterized. Lineage: Eukaryota; Metazoa; Chordata; Mammalia; Primates; Hominidae. The transcript has 4 exons. The record is from RefSeq and is a predicted model, not a curated record.
CAUCAUACCUUACCUCCUUCAGGAAGAGGAUCAUGCACCUGAACCCAGUACUGAUCCUGCCACAAGCCACUUACCUCCCUAGUAGGAUUGUUGAAUACAUCCUCUGUCCACAUUUCAUUCUCUAAGACAGGCACUUUGGUGGUACCAAUCACCUAUACAGGUCAUCAACUAACAUUCAUCAUCAUACUGCUUGUAAACUGUGCUGUACUUGAGUGGUUAGCCUUUUUCUGCUUGAUGCUGAAAGUGACCAACUGUUUACCCGGUAUGUCUCAAACUAUAGAUUCCUGGCUUUCAUAUGGUUCAGACAGCUCCACACUUCCACCAUAACAUAUCAUUAUUUCUUCUAGCCACUAAAACUUAACACUUGGAUAGCAGAAUUUUAUACUGAAGAAAUAUACGUAUUGAAUAUACAAAUCACAAAUAGUCACUCUACAUACUCUGGCAGUCAACACUGCCAAAGAAACCAGAAAAAAAGAAACCUCUUCCUUCUGAAGAGGAAGAAGGAUAUGAGAAGUAUGGCUUAAUGGCAUAGUUUUGGAAAAGUUACAAAUUCCAGCAGGGAGAGCAAUGACUAUUACAUGGUACCUGUUAGUGCAAUGUUAAUCAAUAGAUGCUUUAGUUCACAAAUUCUGCACUUAUUUAGUAUACACAAUGCAUUCUACAAAUGAUUUUCCAAAAAAUCUAAAUUUGUUAAAUAUGAAAAAAUUGGCAAUCAAAUCAUCACUCCAGAAAAGCAGAUGUUCAAGGACAAAAUGAGAAACAAAGGGAACUACUGCUGUAAUACAUACAAUAAUAUUCAGAUGAUGUUUCUUUUAGCAUUUACUUUGUACUGUUCUUUUAGCACACUUUUUUCAUUCUUUCUUAUUUUGUUUAAAUUAUUUGCAAGUCUACUCUACCAGUUUGUAAUUUCCUUGAAGUAACAGGUGUCUUCUUAGUCAUUUGUUUGCCACGGUAUAUUUAUAUUAAAAAAAAGUUUUUUUUUUUUGAGACAGGGUCUCACUCUGCUACCCGGGCUGGAGUGCAGUGGCACAGGUCAUAGCUCCCUGCAGCCUUGACCUCUUCCCAGGCUCAAAGGAUCCUCCCACCUCAGCCUCCAAAGGAGUUGGGACUACAGACGUGCACCACCACACCCAGUUAGUUAAAAAAAAAAAUUGUGGAGAUGGGGUCUUGCUCUGUUGCCCAGGCUGGUCUCAAAAUCCUGGGCUCAAGCAAUCCCUCCAACUUGGCCUUCCAAGGUGCUGGGAUUACAGGUGUCAGCCACUAUGCCUGUUUUUUGUUUGUUUCUUUUUUACUGGUAGAGCUAUAUUUAGACAAAUUUCUAAAGGAAGACAAAAUUGAGGUGUUUCCACAUUCACUAAAAUCUUAAAUAAGGGCAAAUAAAAGUUUUUUUCAACAAGCUCCUCUGUCUUAAUUCGCAUUGUGCUUGCUGGAAACUACAGCCAUGUUUAGAUCUCAUCUAUACUCUAUUUUGGAAAAAGUCUAAUCAUUAACUUCACAUACUAAUUAAUGGCUGUAGUUAAGCUGUGAAACCUUACCUAAGCUAAUAGGAAAUUACCUUCACAUGAGGACAACUUAAGUGAUUCAGACACUCCACGGUUCUGACUAUACUUUUGCUGUGUUGCCACCUAAUUUUUAUUACUACUCCCUUACUCACUACUCCAGCCAAACAGGCCUUUCUGCUGUUCACUGAAGACACCAAGCACAUUCCAAGCCAAAAGUCUUUCUGCAUUGGUGGUCCCUCUGCCUGGAAUGCUCUUUCCCCAGCUGUCAGCACAGCUAACUCCUUCACCUCCUUCCAAUAUUUGCUCAAAUGUCAUUUUCUCAGUGAAGCCUACCUAAGAUUGCAUCUUGCAUUCCCCAUUCCUCUUACCUCGCUGUAUUUUUUUCCUAUGGUACUCAUGUACUUCCAACCUAUAACUUCCUUUUUGUUUACUGUUUAUUAUUUGUCUUCCCCAAACUAGAAUGUAAGCUCCACAGGACAGAGAUCUCUGUUUUGUUUACACAUAGACCAUUCCAAGAAGUUGGACAUUGCCUGGUACACAGUAAGCACUCAAUUACUGAAUAAAUGAGUGGAUAUCAUACUUAGCACAAAAGGCAUCUCUCUCUUCAGGUUCUGAAUAUGAGUCAUUAAUAGUGCACCUCAACUUCACUCCAGCACUUAAAUGCAUGACUUAAAAAAAAAAAAAAAAAAGCAUGUGGCUUACAGCGUGUGUGGAAAAAUUUUCCAGUAUAUGAUCCUCUGAGCCUUUCAUUAAACAGUCCUUUGAGCUUUGUGACAUCAUAAUUCUGCUAAGUGGGUCGCUAUUACCAUUCUCAUAUUGCAAACUCAAGUAGGCAGUUAUGUAGCCCCCGCCCAAAUUCGUGAACCCAAAACAAAACCCACAAGAUCUCAUCAACAGUUUUUACCUCACAGCUGACACUUACAAAGGAGUUCCAAGUGCUUCCGCCAACUCCUCCUACCAGCAACUGUGAAAACAACGGCCACAAGGAGUAAUGCUGCUUUUCACACAGAAAGGGGUUCUACUGUGCCUGACCUUAAGACAGGAAAAGUAGGGGAGCUAAGGAAGCUACCUACACCACCCUCACCCCCAGUAGCCAGCCUCAGGAAGGAAGAGGCACAGCGGUGUGAAUGGAUGGAGAAGAGGAGGCCGGUAGGCUGAGCCCCUGGCUCCUGGAACGAACACACAGCCAUGGCAGAGGAGAAUGUGGCUUGAAUAGGUUCCAUGACUUGUACAAGACCACAGCUGGUACAUGAUGAAGCAAGGACAAGACACGGGCAUCUGACCUCAAGAGUCUCUCCAAUCAUGAAAUACCUAAACUCUGCAAGUCAGAAGACAGUGGGGGCCAAUAUUCAACAUUCUUAAAGAAAGGAAUUUUCAACCCAGAAUUUCAUAUCCAGCCAAACUAAGCUUCAAAAGUGAAGGAGAAAUAAAAUCCUUUACAGACAAGCAAAUGCUGAGAGAUUUUGUCACCACCAGGCCCACCCUACAAGAGUUCCUGAAGGAAGCACUAAACAUGGAGAGGAAUAACUGGUACCAGCCACUGCAAAAACAUGCCAAUUGUAAAGAGCAUUGAGGCUAGGAAGAAACUGCAUCAACUAAUGAGCAAAAUAACCAGCUAACAUCAUAAUGACUCGAUCAAAUUCACACAUAACAGUAUUAACCUUAAGUGUAAAAGGGCUAAAUUCUCCAAUUAAAAGAUGCAGACUGGCAAAUUGGAUAAAGAGUCAAGACCCAUCAGUGUGCUGUAUUCAGGAAACCCAUCUCAUGUGCAGAGACACACAUAGGCUCAAAAUAAAGGGAUGGAGGAAGAUCUACCAAGCAAAUGGAAAACAAAAAAAGGCAGGGGUUGCAAUCCUAGUCUCUGAUAAAACAGACUUUAAACCAACAAAGAUCAAGAGAGACAAAGAAGGCCAUUACAUAAUGGUAAAGGGAUCAAUUCAACAAGAAGAGCUAACUAUCCUAAAUAUAUAUGCACCCAAUACAGGAGCACCCAGAUUCAUAAAGCAAGUCCUUAGAUACUUACAAAGAGACUUAGACUCCCACACAAUAAUAAUGGAAGACUUUAACACCCCACUGUCAACAUUAGACAGAUCAAUGAGACAGAAAGUUAAAAAGGAUAUCCAGGAAAAUCCCUUGAUCUUACGUGCAACAUCCACAAGCAUGUAGCUAACACCAGAUAGGACAGGACAGGAAUCCAAAGACAGAAUCAAGAUAAGACAAAAAAGUGCAAGAGCCAGUGUUUGGGGAGAGGGUCAAGUUUAUUUUUACCUUUUUUUUUUUUUAAUUAACUGAGAAUCAACAAAAUCAGUGAGUGUUCACACAGCAUAAUUCUG